GUUCCUGUGGCUCAGUGGUAGAGCACUCGCCUCGAACAUGCGAGACCCUGGGUUUGAUCCUCAACAACA
Molecule: transfer RNA, 69 nt
Filed under: Marmota monax (woodchuck)
Lineage: Eukaryota; Metazoa; Chordata; Mammalia; Rodentia; Sciuridae
Description: tRNA.Ser
Source: RNAcentral